This 600-nucleotide ribosomal RNA is filed under the name Enterococcus raffinosus. Its description in RNAcentral is "bacterial SSU rRNA". It matches the Rfam family "Bacterial small subunit ribosomal RNA", at positions 75 to 655 of the family's 1533-position model. Lineage: Bacteria; Bacillati; Bacillota; Bacilli; Lactobacillales; Enterococcaceae. The record is from RNAcentral.
GGAGCUUGCUCCACCGAAGGAAAAGGAGUGGGGAAUGGGUGAGUAACACGUGGGUAACCUGCCCAUCAGAAGGGGAUAACACUUGGAAACAGGUGCUAAUACCGUAUAACAAUAGAAACCGCAUGGUUUCUAUUUGAAAGGCGCUUUUGCGUCACUGAUGGAUGGACCCGCGGUGCAUUAGCUAGUUGGUGAGGUAACGGCUCACCAAGGCAACGAUGCAUAGCCGACCUGAGAGGGUGAUCGGCCACAUUGGGACUGAGACACGGCCCAAACUCCUACGGGAGGCAGCAGUAGGGAAUCUUCGGCAAUGGACGAAAGUCUGACCGAGCAACGCCGCGUGAGUGAAGAAGGUUUUCGGAUCGUAAAACUCUGUUGUUAGAGAAGAACAAGGAUGAGAGUAGAAUGUUCAUCCCUUGACGGUAUCUAACCAGAAAGCCACGGCUAACUACGUGCCAGCAGCCGCGGUAAUACGUAGGUGGCAAGCGUUGUCCGGAUUUAUUGGGCGUAAAGCGAGCGCAGGCGGUUUCUUAAGUCUGAUGUGAAAGCCCCCGGCUCAACCGGGGAGGGUCAUUGGAAACUGGGAAACUUGAGUGCAGAAGA